UUAUUAGCACAAUCCAUAUAAUUUUCAUACGUAUAAUCGAACAUUUCGAAAUCAAUUUGAUAUCUUUUAUACAAAUUAUAAAUCAUAUCCUGAUUAAGAGCAUUAAAAUAGCUACAGGUUCGGUCAUAGUCGGUGAAGCCACUUCUUGUUUCUUCCAAUCUUGGUAGGUACACUUCAUUUUCGGCUAAGCCUAUUCUUGAGAAAAUAAAAUCUAUUUCUCUGAACGUAUAAUUUUCCAAUUUUAGGAUGAAAUUAUAGUUUAUAUCGCAUACUGAACAGUGUGAAUAAUAACUCUCCCAAUGCACGUCAUCUUUUGCUGUAGGCUGCCGCAGCAGCCAGACUAUAAAUUCUUUGAAAGUAGGAACCAACUUCAAUCUGAAAUCAACAGGUGGUUUGCAAGCUUCGUUGAGAAGUCUUCCUACCCGUUGACAAUACAUGAAUAUAUAGGACAAGUGAUUCACAGGAUUAUUGGAAAG
RNAcentral lists this unclassified non-coding RNA (476 nucleotides) under Athalia rosae (coleseed sawfly). RNAcentral describes it as "misc RNA ENSAEAG00005001125.1". Lineage: Eukaryota; Metazoa; Arthropoda; Insecta; Hymenoptera; Athaliidae. The record is from RNAcentral.